CCAAGGCUAAAUACUCCCUAGUGAUCGAUAGUGAACCAGUACCGUGAGGGAAAGGUGAAAAGCACCCCGGAAGGGGAGUGAAAGAGAUCCUGAAACCGUGUGCCUACAAAUAGUCAGAGCCCGUUAACGGGUGAUGGCGUGCCUUUUGUAGAAUGAACCGGCGAGUUACGAUCCCGUGCGAGGUUAAGCUGAAGAGGCGGAGCCGCAGCGAAAGCGAGUCUGAAUAGGGCGUUUAGUACGUGGUCGUAGACCCGAAACCAGGUGAUCUACCCAUGUCCAGGGUGAAGUUCAGGUAACACUGAAUGGAGGCCCGAACCCACGCACGUUGAAAAGUGCGGGGAUGAGGUGUGGGUAGCGGAGAAAUUCCAAUCGAACCUGGAGAUAGCUGGUUCUCCCCGAAAUAGCUUUAGGGCUAGCCUUAAGUGUAAGAGUCUUGGAGGUAGAGCACUGAUUGGACUAGGGGUCCUCAUCGGAUUACCGAAUUCAGUCAAACUCCGAAUGCCAAUGACUUAUCCUUAGGAGUCAGACUGCGAGUGAUAAGAUCCGUAGUCAAAAGGGAAACAGCCCAGACCGCCAGCUAAGGUCCCAAAGUGUGUAUUAAGUGGAAAAGGAUGUGGAGUUGCUUAGACAACUAGGAUGUUGGCUUAGAAGCAGCCACCAUUUAAAGAGUGCGUAAUAGCUCACUAGUCGAGUGACUCUGCGCCGAAAAUGUACCGGGGCUAAAUACACCACCGAAGCUGCGGAUUGAUACCAAUGGUAUCAGUGGUAGGGGAGCGUUCUAAGGACAGUGAAGUCAGACCGGAAGGACUGGUGGAGUGCUUAGAAGUGAGAAUGCCGGUAUGAGUAGCGAAAGACGGGUGAGAAUCCCGUCCACCGAAUGCCUAAGGUUUCCUGAGGAAGGCUCGUCCGCUCAGGGUUAGUCAGGACCUAAGCCGAGGCCGACAGGCGUAGGCGAUGGACAACAGGUUGAUAUUCCUGUACCACCUCUUUAUCGUUUGAGCAAUGGAGGGACGCAGAAGGAUAGAAGAAGCGUGCGAUUGGUUGUGCACGUCCAAGCAGUUAGGCUGAUAAGUAGGCAAAUCCGCUUAUCGUGAAGGCUGAGCUGUGAUGGGGAAGCUCCUUAUGGAGCGAAGUCUUUGAUUCCCCGCUGCCAAGAAAAGCUUCUAGCGAGAUAAAAGGUGCCUGUACCGCAAACCGACACAGGUAGGCGAGGAGAGAAUCCUAAGGUGUGCGAGAGAACUCUGGUUAAGGAACUCGGCAAAAUGACCCCGUAACUUCGGGAGAAGGGGUGCUUUCUUAACGGAAAGCCGCAGUGAAUAGGCCCAAGCGACUGUUUAGCAAAAACACAGCUCUCUGCGAAGCCGUAAGGCGAAGUAUAGGGGGUGACACCUGCCCGGUGCUGGAAGGUUAAGGAGAGGGGUUAGCGUAAGCGAAGCUCUGAACUGAAGCCCCAGUAAACGGCGGCCGUAACUAUAACGGUCCUAAGGUAGCGAAAUUCCUUGUCGGGUAAGUUCCGACCCGCACGAAAGGUGUAACGAUUUGGGCACUGUCUCAACCAGAGACUCGGUGAAAUUAUAGUACCUGUGAAGAUGCAGGUUACCCGCGACAGGACGGAAAGACCCCGUGGAGCUUUACUGUAGCCUGAUAUUGAAUUUUGGUACAGUUUGUACAGGAUAGGCGGGAGCCUUUGAAACCGGAGCGCUAGCUUCGGUGGAGGCGCUGGUGGGAUACCGCCCUGACUGUAUUGAAAUUCUAACCUACGGGUCUUAUCGACCCGGGAGACAGUGUCAGGUGGGCAGUUUGACUGGGGCGGUCGCCUCCUAAAGUGUAACGGAGGCGCCCAAAGGUUCCCUCAGAAUGGUUGGAAAUCAUUCGUAGAGUGCAAAGGCAUAAGGGAGCUUGACUGCGAGACCUACAAGUCGAGCAGGGACGAAAGUCGGGCUUAGUGAUCCGGUGGUU
Molecule: ribosomal RNA, 1959 nt
Filed under: Bacillus anthracis (anthrax bacterium)
Lineage: Bacteria; Bacillati; Bacillota; Bacilli; Caryophanales; Bacillaceae
Description: partial 23S ribosomal RNA
Rfam family: Bacterial large subunit ribosomal RNA
Source: RNAcentral